RNAcentral lists this ribosomal RNA (737 nucleotides) under uncultured Tulasnellaceae. RNAcentral describes it as "eukaryotic LSU rRNA". The stretch from base 611 to 737 matches the Rfam family "Eukaryotic large subunit ribosomal RNA", at positions 1 to 128 of the family's 3401-position model. The record is from RNAcentral. Lineage: Eukaryota; Fungi; Basidiomycota; Agaricomycetes; Cantharellales; Tulasnellaceae.
AACUCGGCCAUUUAGAGGAAGUACAAGUCGUAACAAGGUUUCCGUAGGUGAACCUGCGGAAGGAUCAUAGUAAUCGUCUUUGACGUUCUGUUCCGUCGUCCUCGGGACGUUAAGGCGCUCUGGUCGAGGAUAAACGACCCCUCUGACCGAGGUAAAGCGGUCGCUGUGUUACCUCUGUUCGAGGCACACGUUAAAGAUCGUUCCGCGUUGUGAGUCCAACAAGUUGUAAACUUUACAACCGGCAGCGCUGGAUCCCUUGGCACGUCAUUCGAUGAAGACCGUUGCAAAUUGCGAUAAAGUGAUGUGAUGCGCAAGUCCACCACUUAUACGUGAAUCAUCGAGUUGUUGAACGCAUUGCACCGCGCCCUAAUCCGGCUGCGGUAUGCCCCUUUGAGCGUCAUUUAUUCCUUCGGGAGUCUUUCCUUGCGGAAGACCCGAGUUCGGAGUCCUCGGUCUUUGGAUCGUGUUCUCUUAGAUGCGUCGCGCCGAUCGCCUGAUGGGUACUCUAAUGCCUGAGCGUGGAGUCCCUCUGGAGUUGAGACGUGCUUGACCGGCCGUUGGGCUCGCGUCACCAAGUCCGCGUCCUUUGGGACGGCGGUACUACAACGCAUGACCUCAUUGGGGUAGGACAACCCGCUAGACUUAAGCAUAUUAAUCAGCGGAGGAAAAGAAACUAACCAGGAUUCCCCUAGUAACUGCGAGUGAAGAGGGAUCGGCUCAAUGUGUGAAUCUGGCGG